GACGAACGCUGGCGGCGUGCUUAACACAUGCAAGUCGAACGGAAAGGCCUGCUUUCCCUUGUGGAUUGCGGGUACUCGAGUGGCGAACGGGUGAGUAACACGUGAGUGAUCUGCCCCCAACUUGGGUAUAAGCCUGGGAAACUGGGUCUAAUUCCCGAUAGGACUGCAGGGUGGUGCCUGUGGUGGAAAACGAUUUUCUAGUGGUUGGGGAUGAGCUCGCGGCCUAUCAGCUUGUUGGUGGGGGAAUGGCCUACCAAGGCGGCGACGGGGAGCCGGCCUGGGAGGGUGGACGGGCGCAUUGGGACUGGGAUACGGCCCAGACUCCUACGGGAGGCAGCAGUGGGGAAUAUUGCGCAAUGGGCGGAAGCCUGAUGCAGCGACGCCGCGUGGGGGAUGACGGCCUUCGGGUUGUAAACUCCUUUCGACCGCGAGGAAGCCACCUGGUUGGAAGGGUGGUGACGGUAGUGGUAGAAGAAGCACCGGCUAACUACGUG
This 494-nucleotide ribosomal RNA is filed under the name uncultured bacterium. RNAcentral's name for it is "partial 16S ribosomal RNA". It matches the Rfam family "Bacterial small subunit ribosomal RNA", at positions 28 to 507 of the family's 1533-position model. The record is from RNAcentral.